RNAcentral lists this ribosomal RNA (1607 nucleotides) under Salmonella enterica subsp. enterica serovar Stanley. Its description in RNAcentral is "partial 23S ribosomal RNA". It matches the Rfam family "Bacterial large subunit ribosomal RNA", at positions 1213 to 2802 of the family's 2925-position model. The record is from RNAcentral. Lineage: Bacteria; Pseudomonadati; Pseudomonadota; Gammaproteobacteria; Enterobacterales; Enterobacteriaceae.
ACUGUGUGUUGUUGGGUAGGGGAGCGUUCUGUAAGCCUGUGAAGGUGUGUCGUGAGGCAUGCUGGAGGUAUCAGAAGUGCGAAUGCUGACAUAAGUAACGAUAAAGCGGGUGAAAAGCCCGCUCGCCGGAAGACCAAGGGUUCCUGUCCAACGUUAAUCGGGGCAGGGUGAGUCGACCCCUAAGGCGAGGCCGAAAGGCGUAGUCGAUGGGAAACGGGUUAAUAUUCCCGUACUUGGUGUUACUGCGAAGGGGGGACGGAGAAGGCUAUGUUGGCCGGGCGACGGUUGUCCCGGUUUAAGCGUGUAGGUGUGUGUUCCAGGUAAAUCCGGUUCACUUUAACACUGAGGCGUGACGACGAGGCACUACGGUGCUGAAGCAACAAAUGCCCUGCUUCCAGGAAAAGCCUCUAAGCAUCAGGUAACAUCAAAUCGUACCCCAAACCGACACAGGUGGUCAGGUAGAGAAUACCAAGGCGCUUGAGAGAACUCGGGUGAAGGAACUAGGCAAAAUGGUGCCGUAACUUCGGGAGAAGGCACGCUGACACGUAGGUGAAGUGAUUUACUCAUGGAGCUGAAGUCAGUCGAAGAUACCAGCUGGCUGCAACUGUUUAUUAAAAACACAGCACUGUGCAAACACGAAAGUGGACGUAUACGGUGUGACGCCUGCCCGGUGCCGGAAGGUUAAUUGAUGGGGUCAGCGCAAGCGAAGCUCCUGAUCGAAGCCCCGGUAAACGGCGGCCGUAACUAUAACGGUCCUAAGGUAGCGAAAUUCCUUGUCGGGUAAGUUCCGACCUGCACGAAUGGCGUAAUGAUGGCCAGGCUGUCUCCACCCGAGACUCAGUGAAAUUGAACUCGCUGUGAAGAUGCAGUGUACCCGCGGCAAGACGGAAAGACCCCGUGAACCUUUACUAUAGCUUGACACUGAACAUUGAGCCUUGAUGUGUAGGAUAGGUGGGAGGCUUUGAAGCGUGGACGCCAGUCUGCGUGGAGCCGACCUUGAAAUACCACCCUUUAAUGUUUGAUGUUCUAACGUGGACCCGUAAUCCGGGUUGCGGACAGUGUCUGGUGGGUAGUUUGACUGGGGCGGUCUCCUCCUAAAGAGUAACGGAGGAGCACGAAGGUUGGCUAAUCCUGGUCGGACAUCAGGAGGUUAGUGCAAUGGCAUAAGCCAGCUUGACUGCGAGCGUGACGGCGCGAGCAGGUGCGAAAGCAGGUCAUAGUGAUCCGGUGGUUCUGAAUGGAAGGGCCAUCGCUCAACGGAUAAAAGGUACUCCGGGGAUAACAGGCUGAUACCGCCCAAGAGUUCAUAUCGACGGCGGUGUUUGGCACCUCGAUGUCGGCUCAUCACAUCCUGGGGCUGAAGUAGGUCCCAAGGGUAUGGCUGUUCGCCAUUUAAAGUGGUACGCGAGCUGGGUUUAGAACGUCGUGAGACAGUUCGGUCCCUAUCUGCCGUGGGCGCUGGAGAACUGAGGGGGGCUGCUCCUAGUACGAGAGGACCGGAGUGGACGCAUCACUGGUGUUCGGGUUGUCAUGCCAAUGGCACUGCCCGGUAGCUAAAUGCGGAAGAGAUAAGUGCUGAAAGCAUCUAAGCACGAAACUUGCCCCGA